AUAAAUGUUGCAAGGCUUUCUUGACCCUUUGGACCUAAUCAGAAUUGCAUUACCAAAAACAGUUGUGAUGAUGCUAAUAUAAAUCAUUAUUUUUGAAGUUAAAUGUAUAAAAUUAUUACUAGCAAUAUCCCUAGGAGUGCGUUAGCAUUACAGCAGCUUUUUGUCUGGAAAUCAACAGAAAAUAUGCUCAUUUGCACCGGUUUGCUGGCUACAAAGAAAACAGUCAAGUUAUGUCAUUUGUUUUACGCAAAUGUGUCAUGGGGUUUAAGUUUAUUCUCAAAUAAUUUCAUUAUUUCCGGUUUAUAUUUAGGUUGGUAACUUGUUUCCCCAGAUUGUAGAGCAUUAUGAUUUACCUACUAGAUAUGGAUCACUGUAAUAUGGCACCAAUUAAAUU
Non-coding RNA from Pelobates cultripes (western spadefoot toad), 394 nucleotides. NCBI's taxonomy places the organism in Eukaryota, Metazoa, Chordata, Amphibia, Anura, Pelobatidae. The record is from the annotation of a GenBank genome assembly.